RNAcentral lists this long non-coding RNA (5346 nucleotides) under Homo sapiens (human). RNAcentral describes it as "HSALNT0316538". The record is from RNAcentral. Lineage: Eukaryota; Metazoa; Chordata; Mammalia; Primates; Hominidae.
CCUGACGCCACUGUGCUGUUGCGUCUUGCGCAGCGCAGACACCUCCACUCUGGAUUGAAACGAAAAAGCUCGCGAUCCAACUUAGAAAUAAUGUUUCAUUCAAGAUAAGGCUCGUGGCUUAGGAGAUUGUGACCUGGCUUGCAUCAUUCUAAGACUUCUAUCGUCUGUUUUCAAAACCCAAGGAGGACCUCCUUUUCUGUGUGAUAGUUCCUCAUGCUUUGCCAGCCACUGGGUCUUUAAGGAAGCUUGCCAAGAGUUCCCGGCUGGGAAGGACAGUUCGAGUUCAUCAUAGACAAUGAGCUGGCACCACAGUUUAAGUGACUCACCAACCUGGUUGCCCACUUCAAAAUGUCAAGAACCACACUAUCUAAUUGAAAGAACUGUGUUUUAGCAAAGUGUAAUUGGAUCGCCUGGCAAGAUCAUCUCAAACUAUGUCUCUGACCUUGCCUUUCAGUGGCUAUUUUGAGCACAAGAGGAGAAAGGAAAUGAUUCCUGAAUUAUAUCUUGUUUUUAAAAAUUAAGAUUAAUUAAUACUUGGUUUUAUGUUCAUUCCAUUGUAGGAACUUAGUGAUUAUUACAAAACAGUCAAAAUAGGUCAUAGCAAAAUGAACGUUUAAGAUUAGGUUAAAACAUUCCUCUGAAAUUUUAGUAUUCACUUUUGAAGUGUCAAUUACUAUAUUUCUGUAAUUUCUCAUUUUUUUCUUGGCUUAGAGUCAAGAUGAAAAAUGAUAUUUGAAUCAAAGACAUUGUUUUGUUAUAUAGCCACUCCUUUCUAAAAUGCAAAUCCACCCUCCCCUCACCAAUGCUUUAUUCUUUGUGCGCGCACACACACACACACACACACACACACACACACACACACACAGACAUACACAGAACCAGCACCCAAAUGGUAGAGGAGGUCCUUCCAAGACUUCUAGGACCUGGAUCAUGUAAGCAGUAGAUGAGAAAAUGAAGUAAGAGAUAUAGAGUAAUAACAAUAAAAGUCAAUGAUUUCAUUUUACAAAAAAGUCAUUGUGUAGUACUCAGAUAUUUUUAAGAGCAAGUAUUAUUAUGACUAAAGUAUAUUAUACUUCUAAAUUAUUAUGAUUCUCAUCUAAUUUCAAGCCACACAUAGGCGCCAUUUGAAAGCAUUUUGUGUUACAACCUAUCAACAAAAAUCAACUAAUAGUUUUAUAACGUGCAUAGGUUUACCCCAUGGGGAAUUAAAAUUUUUAUCUGCAAGUAUUUCUGUUGUUGUGAGACUUUAGGACAAGACAACAUUUGGUGUUAACAUAGAAGAAUAUUCUAUGGCUUUUUUAGCUUUAAAGUUCAUUACUCUAAAAUAAAGUACACGUGGUAUUUUUUUCUUCCUAGUGUUCUCUUAUUAUAUGUAGAGUAUUUUCGGUUGUUGUUUUUAACGUAUACAUUAUUUUUAUUAAGUCAUUUCAUAAAAGAUAAGAUAUAUACUAAUAGACCCUUGGUUUUCUCCUAAUUUAAUUAUUUCAAGUCAAGCAAAAUUGGGCAAUUUUCUUUCAGGAAAAAAAAAAUAUUGAGCAUGAUUUUGAGGUAAAACUGAUUAUUUACAGCAUCUUUUCUCUAAUAGGCUAACAUUUAUGAUGGAUCUUAUUUCAAAGUUGAUUAUUCUCAAAGAAAAGUGGAGAUAUUAGAAUUUCCGAGUAAAUUGCAUUGUUUUAAAAAGUACUUUAAUGCAUUGUUCACAUUGUUGCCAGCUAUUGACCAAAAAAGAGAAGAAGAAAAAAGAAAUAAAAAAAGCAGUAUCUGCUCCAAACGUCAAGUUUUGCAGUUUGAAAGACUUGUACAUUAUAAUUGUUUUUUUCUUUUUUGGAAAGCAGUAGUAAUUAAUACCAAAGGCAUAGACAAUUUAGGGCCAUAACCUCCCUUCCCCCCUCUCCACCUUUUUUUUUUUUUUUUUUUUUUUUUAACUUUAACCAUGAUAGGCAUCUCUGCAAGGUAGGUUUUAACAUAUUUUUUUCCUAAUUUUUUUCCCUCCAUUCAGUAAGAAGGAUAAGCUUUUAGAGUACCCAGUCACCGUGGUAACUGCCAAAAAAAUUCUCCUGAAGUUUGAAGAGGUCAGCUAGCAGGGUCAACAACCCUGGCCUCUCUCUGAGCUCGGUCUAGCAUGCCCCAGCCUGCGGUUGGAGUGUCAGGCCAGAUCUGACCCUGGGAGGUGGACCAUUCUGGCUCUGAUAUAAAUUUUUCGAGUCAGUUCAUGGCCUGGACUCUCCAGGUGGCCUCCAAAAUCGAUUUUGACCCCCUGACCCUGUCUCACGGAGGCAUAGCAUCCACCCUAAGUAAGGAUUUAGCCAGGAAUGACAGCUUUCCACUGAGUGUUAUUGGGGACAGUAUAAACAGUUUGGAAAGCAAGUAAGGAGGUGUGAGGGCUAGCAAUCAUUAAAAGCACAUUAAAAAACAAUUUUUAAAAAUCUUUAUUAGAGAAAGUUGUAAAUGCAUAUCUGUUACAGAAUUCCUGUGAUUUGUAGAGUUUUCUAGUCAGUUUUGAAUAUAAAUAGGUCACAUAUCUUUAUCUUUUUGCAUACUUUGUUACAAAUAUGCAAAUAAGAUAGGCAUACUUGCUACAAAAUAGGUACAGCAGGAAUGUAAUAUGUUCAGAAAAGGCAAACUGGUUAUUAAAACACAUUAACAGGUAAGGAGUUUCUAAUAUUUUAAAUACUAAAAUUUUACAUGUGUAUUUUGAAGUUUUUAAAAUGGAAAAAUAAAGAACCUUUAAAAAACCCAACAGUGUGGAAUAAAGAUAAACUUGUUGCACUCAAGGUACAUUUCUACUUUGUAAAGCAAGAAGCCAAUACACUCAGUUGGAUAAAAAUGAGAGAAAAAUUGUAAAUAUAGAGAGUUACAGCUUAUAGAGCUGAAGAGGAAUAAAACAAAAAAAAGUGUCUCUGAAUAACUUUAUGUAUUUUCAACAGUUUAAGAUAUCAGAAACUUGGAAAAUAAAUAUGAUAUAUAUAUAAAUCAUCAGUGAUUAUUUCCUUUUCAUUCCCCCCCGCCCCCAGGAUGCCACCGUGAGUGUUUGAUUUUCUCUAGGAAAGUAGAAUUCUCUUUGAGAGUUCUAGCCUGUGAACUCAGUAUGUAAAUGUGGCCAUCAAGAAGACAGAACUGCCAAGAGGAAAGAUUAUGAAUGUUUUUCUUCCUUAAAACCAUUCACAGUGUUUCUUCUUCCAGUGCUUUACUCAGACUUCUCCCCUUUUCCCAGCUCUGUUGAAAAUGGCUUCAAAAGCAACACUGCAGUGGCUAAACCAAUUGUACUGUGAAGUUGUUGAGAUGCCAUUUCAUCUGAAUCCUUCGUAAAAAUUAGAUUUUUAAGUAGGGGUGAAUAUCCUUUUGGGAGAGGGAAUGGGAGGGUAGAAGAAGGGGGGAAAGGACAGAGCAGUUUAUAUAUAUAUAUAUAUAUAUAUAUAUAUAUAUAUAUAUAUAUAUGAGUAUAUAUAUAUGAGUAUAUAUAUAUAUGAGUAUAUAUAUAUGAGUAUAUAUAUAUGAGUAUAUAUAUAUGAGUAUAUAUAUAUGAGUAUAUAUAUAUAUGAGUAUAUAUAUAUGAGUAUAUAUAUAUAUGAGUAUAUAUAUAUGAGUAUAUAUAUAUAUGAGUAUAUAUAUAUAUACUCUUUGUGUUUGAAGGCCUCUGUGUCUUGGCUUCUCACUAUGUUAAAUCCCUAUUAUAAAACUUAUCUUCACAAAGCCUAUUAUAGUAUUCUGAGAACAAAUUGGACCAUGAAUAACUUAGUUGGAAGUGUAGAUUAUUUUCUACUCAGGGGAAGUUAGAGAUGACAACAGCUUAACUGAAAGAAUAGUGAUUAAUCUUAAAUAGAUGGAUUUCAAAGUUUCACUCUUGAUAAAGAGUACCUUUGAUAUUUCCCCUCUUCAGAAUCACGUUUCCACUCUCUUUGUAUUAAGAAUUGUCCUAGUGAUUACACUCUCCCCCUAAUACAGCUCAAAGUGUAGAUCAUUUUUUUUCCAGGUUGUUAAUUUGUCAGAGAGGUGACCAGAAAGACACUCUACUUCCUGUUGGUUAAAUCGAUGAUUCCUAAGUGGUACUAGGCUUAGAUACAAAAGUCAAUGAUAAGAAUAUCUUGCAUAAAUCAUAGCUUCUUACUUAGAUAAAAUUCUUAUUUAAAAAUUUUUAAUUUGCUUAAUGCCCUAUAGCUUACAAAGCACUUUUUAAAUCAUAAUUUUGUUUAAUCCUUAGAAUAAUGUUAUAAGAUAAACAAAACUCAUCAAUCCCAUUUUACCUGUGAUUGCACACUGUGAUUGAGCUAAUAAAUGGAAGAAUUGAGAUACCAACUCAGAUUUUGUAGCUUCUGUUUCAAGUGAUUAACCUGUAGCAACAGGCUUUUGAAUUAUUUUUGUGUUCUAUAUCCCUGAAGAUAAAGAUUCUGUAUUAAAGAGCCAAGAUUUUAUAUCUCACAAAUUAAAAACUUAAAAGACAUGACUGAAAAGAAUUCUGUUUACUUUAAAGUGAAUUUUACCAGUUAUUAUUUUUCUUUCUAUAUAUAUGCUUAAAUGGUCUUUCAGAACUGACGGUUUUAAUUUCCAAAAGUUAAACAUGGGAAGCUCUAUAUAAAUUAAAUAACUAUCUGGAAUUUAAACCACGUAUAUAAGAAACUUAGAUUCUAUAUUUCAAAGUAAAAUAUAGCAUAAGACUUUAGAAGCAGGUUCUACAUAUUAAGUAAUUAUUUGAGAAUAUGCCAUUGAUAAAGCUCUUGAGUGUUAGAGGCGAGAUUUCCCUUCAAUUUUAAAAAACUUUUAAAAUCUUUUAACAUCUUAGCAAGUCUGGAUAAACAAAGUCAAAGUCAUAUAGAACUACUUUUGUUCUCUUAGGCUUUUACUUUUUGUGUUUAAUAAAAAGGUUUGCAAAAUACUCUAGGAAAAAUAAUAAAAGGAUUAUUAACUUGACAUUAAUGUAAACCAUCUAAACAUUACAGAAAUCAAGAAAUACAAAUAGAUGACAUUAUUUUAUUCUUAGGUUUUUAAUUAUAUUGCUUUAAACAUGUAAUGUGGGCAGUGUAGAUGUUAAUAUGGAAAUUCUUAUUUUUUAUUUCUUAAAUUAUAUAAAAUUAAAUUAGUCAUUUUAUAUAUACUUAAAUUAAUGCUUUUGCCCUUGAAAUAUUCUAGCAGCCAGAAAAAUCUAGUUAAGCUUGUUAGCAUUAGACAAAAUGAAAAAGUGUAGAGAAAAAGAAAAGCGACUGUUCUGGUAUCAAUAAUGACAUAUGAUAACCUUUUUUUGUACUGAAGUUUUUCUACAAAAACAUGACAUUAGACUGAGGAUUUUUCAUUCUGAUGUGCAGGUUAAUGUUCAAGUCUCCAAAUACAAACUUCUAGUGUCUCCUCCAC